This 2904-nucleotide ribosomal RNA is filed under the name Escherichia albertii. RNAcentral's name for it is "23S ribosomal RNA". It matches the Rfam family "Bacterial large subunit ribosomal RNA". The record is from RNAcentral. Lineage: Bacteria; Pseudomonadati; Pseudomonadota; Gammaproteobacteria; Enterobacterales; Enterobacteriaceae.
GGUUAAGCGACUAAGCGUACACGGUGGAUGCCCUGGCAGUCAGAGGCGAUGAAGGACGUGCUAAUCUGCGAAAAGCGUCGGUAAGGUGAUAUGAACCGUUAUAACCGGCGAUGUCCGAAUGGGGAAACCCAGUGUGUUUCGACACACUAUCAUUAACUGAAUCCAUAGGUUAAUGAGGCGAACCGGGGGAACUGAAACAUCUAAGUACCCCGAGGAAAAGAAAUCAACCGAGAUUCCCCCAGUAGCGGCGAGCGAACGGGGAGGAGCCCAGAGCCUGAAUCAGUGUGUGUGUUAGUGGAAGCGUCUGGAAAGGCGCGCGAUACAGGGUGACAGCCCCGUACACAAAAAUGCACAUGCUGUGAGCUCGAUGAGUAGGGCGGGACACGUGGUAUCCUGUCUGAAUAUGGGGGGACCAUCCUCCAAGGCUAAAUACUCCUGACUGACCGAUAGUGAACCAGUACCGUGAGGGAAAGGCGAAAAGAACCCCGGCGAGGGGAGUGAAAAAGAACCUGAAACCGUGUACGUACAAGCAGUGGGAGCCCUGAUUUAUCAGGGUGACUGCGUACCUUUUGUAUAAUGGGUCAGCGACUUAUAUUCUGUAGCAAGGUUAACCGAAUAGGGGAGCCGGAGGGAAACCGAGUCUUAACUGGGCGUUAAGUUGCAGGGUAUAGACCCGAAACCCGGUGAUCUAGCCAUGGGCAGGUUGAAGGUUGGGUAACACUAACUGGAGGACCGAACCGACUAAUGUUGAAAAAUUAGCGGAUGACUUGUGGCUGGGGGUGAAAGGCCAAUCAAACCGGGAGAUAGCUGGUUCUCCCCGAAAGCUAUUUAGGUAGCGCCUCGUGAAUUCAUCUCCGGGGGUAGAGCACUGUUUCGGCAAGGGGGUCAUCCCGACUUACCAACCCGAUGCAAACUGCGAAUACCGGAGAAUGUUAUCACGGGAGACACACGGCGGGUGCUAACGUCCGUCGUGAAGAGGGAAACAACCCAGACCGCCAGCUAAGGUCCCAAAGUCAUGGUUAAGUGGGAAACGAUGUGGGAAGGCCCAGACAGCCAGGAUGUUGGCUUAGAAGCAGCCAUCAUUUAAAGAAAGCGUAAUAGCUCACUGGUCGAGUCGGCCUGCGCGGAAGAUGUAACGGGGCUAAACCAUGCACCGAAGCUGCGGCAGCGACACUGUGUGUUGUUGGGUAGGGGAGCGUUCUGUAAGCCUGUGAAGGUGUGCUGUGAGGCAUGCUGGAGGUAUCAGAAGUGCGAAUGCUGACAUAAGUAACGAUAAAGCGGGUGAAAAGCCCGCUCGCCGGAAGACCAAGGGUUCCUGUCCAACGUUAAUCGGGGCAGGGUGAGUCGACCCCUAAGGCGAGGCCGAAAGGCGUAGUCGAUGGGAAACAGGUUAAUAUUCCUGUACUUGGUGUUACUGCGAAGGGGGGACGGAGAAGGCUAUGUUGGCCGGGCGACGGUUGUCCCGGUUUAAGCGUGUAGGCUGGUUUUCCAGGCAAAUCCGGAGAAUCAAGGCUGAGGCGUGAUGACGAGGCACUACGGUGCUGAAGCAACAAAUGCCCUGCUUCCAGGAAAAGCCUCUAAGCAUCAGGUAACAUCAAAUCGUACCCCAAACCGACACAGGUGGUCAGGUAGAGAAUACCAAGGCGCUUGAGAGAACUCGGGUGAAGGAACUAGGCAAAAUGGUGCCGUAACUUCGGGAGAAGGCACGCUGAUGGUAGGUGAAGCGACUUGCUCGUGGAGCUGAAAUCAGUCGAAGAUACCAGCUGGCUGCAACUGUUUAUUAAAAACACAGCACUGUGCAAACACGAAAGUGGACGUAUACGGUGUGACGCCUGCCCGGUGCCGGAAGGUUAAUUGAUGGGGUCAGCGCAAGCGAAGCUCUUGAUCGAAGCCCCGGUAAACGGCGGCCGUAACUAUAACGGUCCUAAGGUAGCGAAAUUCCUUGUCGGGUAAGUUCCGACCUGCACGAAUGGCGUAAUGAUGGCCAGGCUGUCUCCACCCGAGACUCAGUGAAAUUGAACUCGCUGUGAAGAUGCAGUGUACCCGCGGCAAGACGGAAAGACCCCGUGAACCUUUACUAUAGCUUGACACUGAACACUGGUCCUUGAUGUGUAGGAUAGGUGGGAGGCUUUGAAGUGUGGACGCCAGUCUGCAUGGAGCCGUCCUUGAAAUACCACCCUUUAAUGGCUGGUGUUCUAACGUUGGCCCCUUACCGGGGUUGCGGACAGUGUCUGGUGGGUAGUUUGACUGGGGCGGUCUCCUCCUAAAGAGUAACGGAGGAGCACGAAGGUUGGCUAAUCCUGGUCGGACAUCAGGAGGUUAGUGCAAUGGCAUAAGCCAGCUUGACUGCGAGCGUGACGGCGCGAGCAGGUGCGAAAGCAGGUCAUAGUGAUCCGGUGGUUCUGAAUGGAAGGGCCAUCGCUCAACGGAUAAAAGGUACUCCGGGGAUAACAGGCUGAUACCGCCCAAGAGUUCAUAUCGACGGCGGUGUUUGGCACCUCGAUGUCGGCUCAUCACAUCCUGGGGCUGAAGUAGGUCCCAAGGGUAUGGCUGUUCGCCAUUUAAAGUGGUACGCGAGCUGGGUUUAGAACGUCGUGAGACAGUUCGGUCCCUAUCUGCCGUGGGCGCUGGAGAACUGAGGGGGGCUGCUCCUAGUACGAGAGGACCGGAGUGGACGCAUCACUGGUGUUCGGGUUGUCAUGCCAAUGGCACUGCCCGGUAGCUAAAUGCGGAAGAGAUAAGUGCUGAAAGCAUCUAAGCACGAAACUUGCCCCGAGAUGAGUUCUCCCUGAGACUUAGAGUCUCCUGAAGGAACGUUGAAGACGACGACGUUGAUAGGCCGGGUGUGUAAGCGCAGCGAUGCGUUGAGCUAACCGGUACUAAUGAACCGUGAGGCUUAACCUU